Molecule: long non-coding RNA, 609 nt
Organism: Xiphophorus hellerii (green swordtail)
Lineage: Eukaryota; Metazoa; Chordata; Actinopteri; Cyprinodontiformes; Poeciliidae
Exons: 2
Source: RefSeq, a predicted model, not a curated record
GAGACCAGACAUUAUCAAAAAGGGAUGAUUAGACAACUGAGAUCUACACAGAGGAUUAUUGUUCCACUUUCAAAAGAACACUAACAAAUGGAAUUAUUUAAAAGAAAAAAAAACGCAAAAAAAUACCAUUAAGAUUAUUUUAUAACAUUAAUUUAAAGAUGCGGUUUGUCAGUGGAGACUCUACAGACUCUGCAGACACUGUGACAGUGAGGACACAGAAGAUCACAUGUGGAUCACAUGUGACAGAUGCAACUGGUGGUACCACCAAGGCUGCAUUAAGGUCCCACAAACCGACACAGACUGCUGCUGUGCAAUGUGUUUAUAGAUUUUAUGUUUGUACCAAUCUAAUUCGUUAAUGACUGCAGUUCAGUGGAUUUUCAGUUUAAACAUGUGACAUAAUUUUUGUUGACUUAAUUGGUUUUCCAAAGAUUUUUGUUAUGAAUAUUCUUUUGUUGAAAUUAAUGAAAAAAAAAGUGAUUUAAUUUUUAUGUUAAACCAAAAUAAAAAUGGUUUGUGCAUGCUUUACAUUUAGCAAAGAUGCAUUGUCAGAUUUAUUUCCUUCAGUAUCCUUGCAAUAGCGAUAAUAAAGAAAUAACAUUUUCUACAUAA